Molecule: long non-coding RNA, 388 nt
Organism: Oncorhynchus tshawytscha (Chinook salmon)
Lineage: Eukaryota; Metazoa; Chordata; Actinopteri; Salmoniformes; Salmonidae
Source: Ensembl
GAGGAGAGGAGGGUAAGAACAGGAGGAGAGGAGGGUAAGGAGGAGAGGAGGGUAAGAACAGGAGGAGGGAGGAACAGGAGGAGAGGAGAGUAAGGAGGAGAGGAGAGUAAGAACAGGAGGAGAGGAGGGUAAGAACAGGAGGAGAGGAGGGUAAGAACAGGAGGAGGGAGAAACAGGAGGAGAGGAGAGUAAGGAGGAGAGGAGAGUAAGAACAGGAGUAGAGGAGGGUAAGAACAGGAGGAGAGGAGGGUAAGAACAGGAGGAGGGAGAGUAAGGAGGAGAGGAGAAACAGGAGGAGAGGAGGGUAAGAACAGGAGGAGAGGAGGGUAAGAACAGGAGGAGAGGAGGGUAAGAACAGGAGGAGAGGAGGGUAAGGAGGAGAGGAGGG